RNAcentral lists this ribosomal RNA (490 nucleotides) under uncultured bacterium. RNAcentral's name for it is "partial 16S ribosomal RNA". It matches the Rfam family "Bacterial small subunit ribosomal RNA", at positions 30 to 507 of the family's 1533-position model. The record is from RNAcentral.
AUUGAACGCUGGCGGCAGGCCUAACACAUGCAAGUCGAAUGGUAACAGGAAGAAGCUUGCUUCUUUGCUGACGAGUGGCGGCCGGGUGAGUAAUGUCUGGGAAACUGCCUGAUGGAGGGGGAUAACUACUGGAAACGGUAGCUAAUACCGCAUAACGUCGCAAGACCAAAGGGGGGGACCUUCGGGCCUCUUGCCAUCGGAUGUGCCCAGAUGGGAUUAGCUAGUAGGUGGGGUAACGGCUCACCUAGGCGACGAUCCCUAGCUGGUCUGAGAGGAUGACCAGCCACACUGGAACUGAGACACGGUCCAGACUCCUACGGGAGGCAGCAGUGGGGAAUAUUGCACAAUGGGCGCAAGCCUGAUGCAGCCAUGCCGCGUGUAUGAAGAAGGCCUUCGGGUUGUAAAGUACUUUCAGCGGGGAGGAAGGGAGUAAAGUUAAUACCUUUGCUCAUUGACGUUACCCGCAGAAGAAGCACCGGCUAACUCCGUG